Long non-coding RNA from Prionailurus viverrinus (fishing cat), 675 nucleotides. RefSeq lists it as uncharacterized. The record is from RefSeq and is a predicted model, not a curated record. NCBI's taxonomy places the organism in Eukaryota, Metazoa, Chordata, Mammalia, Carnivora, Felidae. The transcript has 4 exons.
CAGGAAGUAUUCGCCGGGGUGUUUCUUUUGUGUCAGGGCACAGUAUAUGCAUCACAGGUACCACGAUGCUUUUCCUAUCGUGAGGAGUUAAUGACGGGAACACAGCGUUUACAGAUGCUGAAAACUGAGGUCCCAACAUCAGAGAAAACAUGAGAAGCCACACAACGAGGGAAGAGCUGCAAGGAACCAUAAAUGUGAAGAAGAUUUGGGCGGGGAGCCGGAUGAAGGAGGCACAAACCUAUGUAUCCAAGCGGUGCGGGACAAGGCGGUGGUGGCCACAAAACAAGAAAAGAAUCCCGAGAAGAUGUUGCUGAUCCCAAAGGCAAUGAAUUCCUAAGGCAGAGACCGGGUGGCAGUGAUGCGAGCACAUACAAUCUUUGCGAGACCCUCGCCAACCGUGUAAGGAAGAAUAAUAAGAAAGCAAACUCCCCAGACCACCCUGUCUGGUAGCCCCAAUUUAAUCUUUACCGUUAAAGGUGCUUGGAGGUCUUGAAAGGCAUUCAGGACUUGGGGCUCCACAGAGUCUAAGAGAGGCCUCACGGCUCUCAAUCAUUUUUAAGGUUGCUAAGGAAUAGUCACUGGUUAAAAUGCUGACUUCCCUUCCCGGCGAGUGGUGUAUCUGUAGCUCUCGCAGAAAGCAUUGUUCUGUUCGCACAUAAAGCGUUUCUUCUGUGG